RNAcentral lists this long non-coding RNA (346 nucleotides) under Chinchilla lanigera (long-tailed chinchilla). RNAcentral's name for it is "lncRNA (ENSCLAG00000029080.1)". Lineage: Eukaryota; Metazoa; Chordata; Mammalia; Rodentia; Chinchillidae. The record is from RNAcentral.
AUUGGCUGACAGUGGUGAGAGAAUACCAAUGUCCAGUUUCCAGUGAGUCCUGUGUGUUCCUUUUCUGGUUUCUGCCAUUGCAGAGAGCAGAGGAUCAGCUACAGGUAUUUCAGACCCGCUGAGUUGAUGCCAAGGAGUGAACAGCGCACUGGUCUUAUCUUCAUGAUUCCUGGGAAGACCUGCUCUCAGCAUACCAGCUGCUCCAUUGUCUGGGAGCAGUGGUCAACAGCUACUUAUGGGGAUUGAAGACGGGUAUGGAAUUUCCAGGACUGGAAUUUGCAGUUUGCAAGCCAGUAUAGAGUUGUUUUGUUCACGUCUGUAAUGGAUUAAAAGAUUUCAACUGUAU